UGAUCCUGGCUCAGGACGAACGCUGGCGGUGCGCUUUAUGCAUGCAAGUUGAGCGAAGCUUUUCAGUAGUUUACUACAGAAAAUGACUGAGCGGCGAACGGGUGAGUAACGCGUGAGCAAUCUACCUUAGUUACUGGGAUAGCCCGAGGAAACUCGGAUUAAUACCGGAUAUUCUUAUUUUUUCACAUGAAGUUUUAAGGAAAGGUCAGCCGAACUAAGAUGAGCUCGCGUUCUAUCAGCUAGUUGGUGGGGUAAAAGCCUACCAAGGCAACGACGGAUAGCUGGUCUGAGAGGACGAUCAGCCACACUGGGACUGAGACACGGCCCAGACUCCUACGGGAGGCUGCAGCAGGGAAUAUUGUGCAAUGAGCGAAAGCUUGACACAGCGACACCGCGUGUGGGAUGACGGUUCUAGGAUUGUAAACCACUUUCAGGAGGGAAGAAAAUGACGGUACCUCCACAAGAAGACCCGGCCAACUAUGUGCCAGCAGCCGCGGUAAUACAUAGGGGUCAAGCGUUGUCCGGAUUUAUUGGGCGUAAAGAGCUCGUAGGCGGUUCAACAAGUCGGUCGUAAAAGUUUAGGGCUCAACCCUAAAAUGUCGAUCGAUACUGUUGUGACUAGGAUACGGUAGAGGUGAAUGGAAUUCCGAGUGUAGCGGUGAAAUGCGUAGAUAUUCGGAGGAACACCAAUUGCGAAGGCAGUUCACUGGACCGUGAUCGACGCUGAGGAGCGAAAGCUAGGGGAGCAAACAGGAUUAGAUACCCUGGUAGU
Molecule: ribosomal RNA, 772 nt
Filed under: uncultured marine bacterium
Lineage: Bacteria
Description: bacterial SSU rRNA
Rfam family: Bacterial small subunit ribosomal RNA
Source: RNAcentral